GCCACCGUAGCUCAGUUGGUAGAGCAGCUGAUUCGUAAUCAGCAGGUCGACGGUUCAAGCCCGCCCGGUGGCU
Molecule: transfer RNA, 73 nt
Filed under: candidate division Zixibacteria bacterium RBG_16_53_22
Lineage: Bacteria; Pseudomonadati; Candidatus Zixiibacteriota
Also listed under: 1 other name
Description: tRNA-Thr
Rfam family: tRNA
About the family: Transfer RNA (tRNA) molecules are approximately 80 nucleotides in length.
Source: RNAcentral